GGGCUGGUAGCUCAGCUCGGUAGAGCACCUGACUUUUAAUCAGGGUGUCCAGGGUUCGAAUCCCUGCCGGCCCACCA
This 77-nucleotide transfer RNA is filed under the name Chloroflexota bacterium. Its description in RNAcentral is "Chloroflexi bacterium tRNA-Lys". It matches the Rfam family "tRNA". From Rfam's summary of the family: Transfer RNA (tRNA) molecules are approximately 80 nucleotides in length. Their secondary structure includes four short double-helical elements and three loops (D, anti-codon, and T loops). Further hydrogen bonds mediate the characteristic L-shaped molecular structure. tRNAs have two regions of fundamental functional importance: the anti-codon, which is responsible for specific mRNA codon recognition, and the 3' end, to which the tRNAs corresponding amino acid is attached (by aminoacyl-tRNA synthetases). tRNAs cope with the degeneracy of the genetic code in two manners: having more than one tRNA (with a specific anti-codon) for a particular amino acid; and 'wobble' base-pairing, i.e. permitting non-standard base-pairing at the 3rd anti-codon position. Lineage: Bacteria; Bacillati; Chloroflexota. The record is from RNAcentral.